RNAcentral lists this ribosomal RNA (490 nucleotides) under uncultured bacterium. RNAcentral's name for it is "partial 16S ribosomal RNA". It matches the Rfam family "Bacterial small subunit ribosomal RNA", at positions 28 to 507 of the family's 1533-position model. The record is from RNAcentral.
GAUGAACGCUAGCUACAGGCUUAACACAUGCCAGUCGAGGGGCAGCAUGGUCUUAGCUUGCUAAGGCCGAUGGCGACCGGCGCACGGGUGAGUAACACGUAUCCAACCUGCCGUCUACUCUUGGACAGCCUUCUGAAAGGAAGAUUAAUACAAGAUGGCAUCAUGAGUCCGCAUGUUCACAUGAUUAAAGGUAUUCCGGUAGACGAUGGGGCUGCGUUCCAUUAGAUAGUAGGCGGGGUAACGGCCCACCUAGUCUUCGAUGGAUAGGGGUUCUGAGAGGAAGGUCCCCCACAUUGGAACUGAGACACGGUCCAAACGCCUACGGGAGGCAGCAGUGAGGAAUAUUCGUCAAUGGGCGCAGGCCUGAACCAGCCAAGUAGCGUGAAGGAUGACUGCCCUAUGGGUUGUAAACUUCUUUUAUAAAGGAAUAAAGUCGGGUAUGUAUACCCGUUUGCAUGUACUUUAUGAAUAAGGAUCGGCUAACUCCGUG